UUCAGAAACUCCGAGCUGCACUCGCUCCCUUAAAGGGGACGCGGCGGUGCAGAAAUGUAGGGCCGAGCCGGGGCGGUCGACCACCUGCCGUUCAUCGGGGCUGGUUCUGGUCACCGCUGGGUCCCCACGUACAACAGAACGCUGCUACCCUGGAUGGCUGACCGCCCUGACCCGCUGAUUAUAGGGACAAUGCAAGUGGGCACCCGGAGCCCAUGGGACGUGGCAGUGCUUUAUUGCCAUGCCUGUGCAGAACUGAGUCAUGUUAAUAUUUAAUUCGAGGACUUCGUGUGAGAGGAAGGAAGUGACGGCAGGGGCUGAGAUGCCGGCAGCUCCCACUAAAGCCGCGCCACCUUCGUGCCGUGUAAAUAGCACCAGCUCUGGGAUUUCUUGAUGCUUUGCUGAAAUUAGCACCUGAAAAAAAGAGCAGCUGCCAAAGCCACAUUUAAAUAAGACGGGCAGGCUUUGGUAGGAAGAGGAGAGCGGGUUGGAGAGUGCUUGGGUUCCUUGAAGUGCAUUUGGCCCCACACCGACCUCCUCAUGAGCCUGGUAACGCAUCCUGAGCCCCACACGGUGCUUCAGGGAGCAGUGCAGGCAGCAACCAGGAUUAUAAUCCUCUUGGUUGGGGCUGGCAGAUGACACGUGUGGCUCAUCAUAAAUGAGGAGGAAUGAAGCAACCCUCGCACCAAGGACAGAACAGAGCUAAAGCAGGAAAAGCAGGCGGGGAGGUGCAAGAUGGGGAGGACUCUGUGAGGCUCAAGGGAAGUAUGGGGCCUCUGUCUGUAUGUGGCAAUGGGAUACCUAUAGAUAAGUGAGCUGGGGGAGGAAGCAGGAGGUGCAGGCAUAGACUUGCUAGAGGAAAAACAGAGCCAGUGCUUCUCUUAAUUGUUUAUUUCAGUUCUUAUUAAAGCAUUUUUCCCUA
Molecule: long non-coding RNA, 919 nt
Organism: Centrocercus urophasianus (Greater sage-grouse)
Lineage: Eukaryota; Metazoa; Chordata; Aves; Galliformes; Phasianidae
Exons: 2
Source: RefSeq, a predicted model, not a curated record